GGGUAUAGCUCAGUAGUAGAGCGCGUGCUUAGCAUGCAUGAGGUCCUUGGCUCAAUCCCCAGUACCGCCA
RNAcentral lists this transfer RNA (70 nucleotides) under Camelus bactrianus (Bactrian camel). It matches the Rfam family "tRNA". From Rfam's summary of the family: Transfer RNA (tRNA) molecules are approximately 80 nucleotides in length. Their secondary structure includes four short double-helical elements and three loops (D, anti-codon, and T loops). RNAcentral also lists the same sequence under 2 other names. The record is from Rfam by way of RNAcentral. Lineage: Eukaryota; Metazoa; Chordata; Mammalia; Artiodactyla; Camelidae.